This 113-nucleotide microRNA precursor is filed under the name Microtus ochrogaster (prairie vole). Its description in RNAcentral is "microRNA 215 (ENSMOCG00000009683.1)". The stretch from base 23 to 95 matches the Rfam family "mir-192/215 microRNA precursor family". From Rfam's summary of the family: This family represents the human microRNA (miRNA) precursors mir-192 and mir-215. Animal miRNAs are transcribed as ~70nt precursors and subsequently processed by the Dicer enzyme to give a ~22nt product. The record is from RNAcentral. Lineage: Eukaryota; Metazoa; Chordata; Mammalia; Rodentia; Cricetidae.
AGUUCUCAUCGUGAACUGGUGUACAGGAAAAUGACCUAUGAAUUGACAGACAGUGUGGCUGAGUAUGUCUGUCAUUCUGUAGGCCAAUAUUCUGUAUGUCUCCGCUACUUACA